Molecule: long non-coding RNA, 438 nt
Organism: Lynx canadensis (Canada lynx)
Lineage: Eukaryota; Metazoa; Chordata; Mammalia; Carnivora; Felidae
Exons: 3
Source: RefSeq, a predicted model, not a curated record
CCUGGGACCUGGGAUCCUUCUGUGGAAUAUUUAGAAGCCAAGAUCUGGGAACUAGCUAACUUAAACUCCUUGAAGACACGAAGCGGUUAACUUACAGUUGUAUCCAGUGCAUCCAGCCUAAUGUCCUAAUGCCCAACUGAUUUUGAAUGAAGCCUGGCUUCAUCGCAGAGACUCCGCCCACGAGCAUCCAAAUGGCGGAAGAACUGCACGCUACGUCGUGACAUCUCACACAAAUGCGGAGGCAUCCUGACGCUACGCCACCGGCGUGGGCGGGGCGGCCGGCUCUUCCUUCCUCUCGGCUACUUCGGCUCCUCCCCUAGCGCUUCACACGCUCAUUGUGAAGCGACAGCGGGCAUCAACCCCUAGGGCUGUUUGAGACCUAGGGAUUCUAAAUCUUUGGCGCGCGUGAGCGCCCGCGCUGCUCCUUCCCCACUCCAA